UAUUAGCCGUACAUCAGUGUGUUCUCUUGAUGUUUAUUUAAUGCUAAAAAGGCCUAAUAACUACAGUCAGUUACUGAUUGAACUCCUUGUUCUAUCCUUUUUCCCACUUCUCACUACUGCACUUGGCUAGUCUUAA
RNAcentral lists this non-coding RNA (136 nucleotides) under Mandrillus leucophaeus (drill). The record is from RNAcentral. Lineage: Eukaryota; Metazoa; Chordata; Mammalia; Primates; Cercopithecidae.